This 557-nucleotide ribosomal RNA is filed under the name Staphylococcus aureus. Its description in RNAcentral is "partial 23S ribosomal RNA". It matches the Rfam family "Bacterial large subunit ribosomal RNA", at positions 756 to 1316 of the family's 2925-position model. Lineage: Bacteria; Bacillati; Bacillota; Bacilli; Caryophanales; Staphylococcaceae. The record is from RNAcentral.
GUAACACUGAAUGGAGGACCGAACCGACUUACGUUGAAAAGUGAGCGGAUGAACUGAGGGUAGCGGAGAAAUUCCAAUCGAACCUGGAGAUAGCUGGUUCUCUCCGAAAUAGCUUUAGGGCUAGCCUCAAGUGAUGAUUAUUGGAGGUAGAGCACUGUUUGGACGAGGGGCCCCUCUCGGGUUACCGAAUUCAGACAAACUCCGAAUGCCAAUUAAUUUAACUUGGGAGUCAGAACAUGGGUGAUAAGGUCCGUGUUCGAAAGGGAAACAGCCCAGACCACCAGCUAAGGUCCCAAAAUAUAUGUUAAGUGGAAAAGGAUGUGGCGUUGCCCAGACAACUAGGAUGUUGGCUUAGAAGCAGCCAUCAUUUAAAGAGUGCGUAAUAGCUCACUAGUCGAGUGACACUGCGCCGAAAAUGUACCGGGGCUAAACAUAUUACCGAAGCUGUGGAUUGUCCUUUGGACAAUGGUAGGAGAGCGUUCUAAGGGCGUUGAAGCAUGAUCGUAAGGACAUGUGGAGCGCUUAGAAGUGAGAAUGCCGGUGUGAGUAGCGAAAGA